RNAcentral lists this transfer RNA (65 nucleotides) under Dipodomys ordii (Ord's kangaroo rat). It matches the Rfam family "tRNA". Rfam says of the family: Transfer RNA (tRNA) molecules are approximately 80 nucleotides in length. Lineage: Eukaryota; Metazoa; Chordata; Mammalia; Rodentia; Heteromyidae. The record is from Rfam by way of RNAcentral.
GGUGGCUCAGUGGUAGAGCACUUGCUUUGCGUGCAUGAGGCCCUGGGUUAGAUUCCUUAGCACCA